AACGCUUCUCGGACUUUUGUCUAAGAUCAAGGGUAGUAUCUGUACUUAUCAGUUUAAUAUAGGAUACAUUCUCUGUCUAAGUCUCCAUUUUGAUUAUAAGAUGUAAUUACGUUCAAGUUCUCAGGUCCUAUGUAGCCAAGAGCACAGUUCAAUUCAAAAGUUCAAUACUUGCUGCUUAGAAUAAAACAAU
Small nuclear RNA from Meriones unguiculatus (Mongolian gerbil), 190 nucleotides. RefSeq annotates it as U2 spliceosomal RNA. The transcript has a single exon. Lineage: Eukaryota; Metazoa; Chordata; Mammalia; Rodentia; Muridae. The record is from RefSeq and is a predicted model, not a curated record.